GAUGGAUGGCCGAGUGGUUAAGGCGUUUGACUAGAAAUCAAAUGGGAUCUUCCCGCGUAGGUUCGAAUCCUACUCGCAGCG
This 81-nucleotide transfer RNA is filed under the name Clytia hemisphaerica. Its description in RNAcentral is "tRNA-Ser for anticodon AGA". The stretch from base 5 to 75 matches the Rfam family "tRNA", at positions 6 to 65 of the family's 71-position model. From Rfam's summary of the family: Transfer RNA (tRNA) molecules are approximately 80 nucleotides in length. Their secondary structure includes four short double-helical elements and three loops (D, anti-codon, and T loops). The record is from RNAcentral. Lineage: Eukaryota; Metazoa; Cnidaria; Hydrozoa; Leptothecata; Clytiidae.